This 77-nucleotide transfer RNA is filed under the name Methylobacterium organophilum. RNAcentral describes it as "tRNA-Pro". It matches the Rfam family "tRNA". Rfam says of the family: Transfer RNA (tRNA) molecules are approximately 80 nucleotides in length. Their secondary structure includes four short double-helical elements and three loops (D, anti-codon, and T loops). Lineage: Bacteria; Pseudomonadati; Pseudomonadota; Alphaproteobacteria; Hyphomicrobiales; Methylobacteriaceae. The record is from RNAcentral. RNAcentral also lists the same sequence under 4 other names.
CGGGGCGUAGCUCAGCCUGGUAGAGCGGAUGGUUUGGGACCAUCAGGUCGCACGUUCGAGUCGUGUCGCCCCGACCA